Molecule: ribosomal RNA, 254 nt
Filed under: uncultured bacterium
Lineage: Bacteria
Description: partial 16S ribosomal RNA
Rfam family: Bacterial small subunit ribosomal RNA
Source: RNAcentral
UACGUAGGGGGCAAGCGUUGUCCGGAAUCAUUGGGCGUAAAGCGCGUGUAGGCGGCCAGAAAAGUCCGCUGUGAAAACUCGAGGCUCAACUUCGAGCUGUCGGUGGAAACUUUCUGGCUAGAGUCCGGAAGAGGAGAAUGGAAUUCCUGGUGUAGCGGUGAAAUGCGCAGAUAUCAGGAAGAACACCCCGUGGCGAAGGCGGUUCUCUGGGACGGUACUGACGCUGAGACGCGAAAGCGUGGGGAGCGAACAGG